AGCUCCCUACAUGUCCAGAUCAAGCCUGCACUCUCCCCAGUGCACCCUAUGGCUACCUAAUAGCUCUCCAUGGAAGGUGAGACAGAGAGAAGGGGGAGCUGCUGGGUGGCCAGGGAUGGGCUUGGCAGUUUCUCAUGUGCCUAGAUCAGUCACAGGCUCUGACUUCUAUUUUUGCCAUGUGGGAGGGGGGGAGGUAAAAUGAUGCCCUCCCCCCUGCCCUCCCCCAGGUGACAUGGCCAGAGAAGAGCUGAGCGGAGCCUAUGAGGUGGCAGGGGUGGAUGCAGGCUGCCUGCUGUGGGCUUGGGGCUACCCCCUUGCUGUCCUCCCCCAGAAGCCUGAGCCAGCCAUGCCACAUUGGUGAGGUGCCUCCUGCCCACCCAACAGCAGUAGGGGGCACACCUCUGUGCCACCACCCCCAUCCCCACUCCCGCUGCUGGCAGGUGGGCAGGGGGCACCUCGCCAUGGUGGUUCAAGACUCCCAGGUGGAGGGAAGCAGGUGGGGAACCCCCAAGCCCACAACAGGCAGCCCACAUCUGUCCCCACCCCAUGCACAUAUCUGGGGGGCAUGUGCUGCCUUCCUUGGGAGUGCAUGCAAUGGCAGGGAGAUGAACCCCCCCCCCCCCUUGCCCCCCUGGACAAGCCACCCAUAGUUCUGUUGUGCUCCCCACCCCAGCCUUGGGUCCCAUGCACCACCCUGGCUGGGCAGCACCCCCAGGCCCAGCCCCUGCCCCACUCCCUCCCUCACCAUGGGGGCCUCAAUCUGCACCCCCACAGACUUACCUGCAGGAAGCUGGGGGAGUUGUUCUCCACCACCGUCUGGGAUUGUAUUCCUGGCCUUCAUGUAUGUGUGUGAGUGCAUACAUGCACAUCAUGCCCUCUGCAUCCUGCUUUCCACAGCCCUUUGGACAGAUCAACAGAAACAUGGGUUUCUCAGUCUUCAUUUAGGGAAGGGUGGUCACUCUGGCCUCUUCCCAAGCGGGGCCAGGGCCCUUGGGCCCCCAUGUAUUUUCUGCCUAUGAGAUCAGGACUGCUUGGCCCCUGUCAGCCCCUGUGGCUGACUAGCAGAUCCUUGUUCACCUGCUGCCCCAUCCCCUGGGAGAUUGGGGGGGUGGUAAGCAGGCAGCCAUGCAGCCUGAUGGGGAUGGUGCAGGCCAGAUCUGGGCAUGUGCAGGUGGUACGGACUGCAGAGAGCCCAGGACCAGGUAAGAACCCCAUCCUACUGCCACUGCUACUCUUGGGCUGAUAAGGGAAGUACUGGAUUGAUCCAGAAAGGUGGUGGGGGGGAGGGGAAUGGCUCCUGAAGCCCCUCCCUCUUUCUACCUUCCUCCCAGUCUGUCCUGCAGGGAAAGAGCCAGUGAUCUGGACAGGCACGGAGCAGACUUGGAAGUUCCUAAUUAUGCCCCUACUUGCUAACCCUCUUGCUGAGGGUCAGAGCCGUGCAUGUCAGAUUUUAGGCACAUCCUGUGUUUUUCAUUUCCUAUUAGUCCACUCCACUUAACCUCCAGGCUCUCUACCUCCCACUUUGGAGGUAGCUAAACUCUCCUUAUUGCCUGCCCAGGGAGCCCAGGUGUCUAACCCUCAUUUCUUUGAAUUACCCUCCUAGAGCCAGGCAUCUAAUUUUUUAGCAAGUCAAAGCCUGAGGUAAAGGUACCUAAAGGAAAAAUUGGGAUCUUAACCAAAAUACCACCAAUACCAAGUUAAAUGUCUUACAAAGUGUAAAUAUUCUUUUAGCAAACAAAUCUUAUUUAAUUAAUAAAAAAGCUUGACAAGGUCUUCCUUUCCAUGAGCCCAUGUUGAUUGUCAUUAAUUACAUUUCACCCCUUUACAUCUUCUUUUAGAGUCCUGUAUCAGGCAUUCCAUUGUUUUCCUUGGAUUAAUAUCAGUUUGUUAAACCUAUACUUAUACUUACCAAGGUUAAAAUAUUGGCAAAGUGUUAGCCUCUUCCAGCCUUCUGGAACCUCCUCAGUGUCCUUAGAGUUAUAGAAGAAUCCAGUUCUGUUAAAGCUCUUGAAUUCAAGUUAUCCCAGCCUGCUGAUUUAAAAAUGUAUAGCUUUAGGAAUUGCUGUUUAACAGUUUCCCAAUUUAUUGUUGCAAUGGAAAGUAUUUCCAUUUCAAUUCUGAGGAAGUGAGGCCUCUCUUUCAAACUGUGAAAGGGUUAAUAGAGUGAGCAAACUAGUUACAAAUGGAGAAAAAUCUGAACUGAUUGGGUAUUUGAUUCUGAGGCUGUUGAAUUAAUACCAGAUGCAACCUGUUUUCUUAUUAGAGGAGGAAUCCCAUUGAUGUCCAGGCAGUUCAAAUCCUAUGUGGUCGAUAUGGGUAAUAGAACUGGGCACUUAGCUGUUAGUGGCCUAAAGGUGAAAGCAUACAAUAAAGCAAAUGAAAAAAUACUAGUAGUAUUGUCAGAUAUAAGAAACUAAGAGAUAAUGACACUAAGUGAGUAGCCCAGAAUGGUCUGGGGCCCAUCCCCCAAGCCUCAGCAACCCCCCCUAGUUAUUAGAUACCUCUUCUCAUUUGAGUUCUGGAUUACUGAAAGAGAAUUAGUACGGAAGUAUGAAUUCAAAUUUAUACUCCAGACCUAAUAUUUUUUUGUGGUUUUUUUUUUCAUAGAAAACAACCCCAAGAGUAAUCCUAAUUAUUGUAUUCCACUUUCCUGUAAUUGGAAUAAAUCACUUCUUGUAAAUAAAAUAUGAAUGCACUCAUAAUAAUUGUAUGAAUGUUUGAUUGGAUUUCAACAUCUUUUAUUAAAAACAAAGUAAGACUUGAUUGAAACUAUUAACUGAUUAUAUUAGGCAAAUGUAUCUGAUGUCUACCACUUCAAUUGUGUGUAGCACAAUAAUUGCAAAUAUUUUUACCCAGGGAAAAAAGUAAAUUAUUUGGGGCAAAAUAGGUCCCUGUAAACUUGUGUUAUCAUGGUAUGAUAUGAACAAAACUAGACUUCUAACCCCUUUGCACCAAUUUAAUUCAAAGUUGCCUUAUCCCAGACUAGUAUCUUUCUAAUUGAACUACCUAAAUUCCAUCAUGUUUUGAUUUCCCUUAGCUACCUCCUAAAAGCACCAAAAAACCAACAUUCAGCAACAUUACUGAUCCCCAGUGCCUGUGAACCAUAAUGUUUGCAACACCAGAUGGAGUUGUUAUAUUAGGAGCAAAGGACUAUAUUCAAUAAAGGGCUUAGGCAGCAUAUAUACAUUUAAGUCCAGAACUGCAGUGCAAAAAAACCCCUGCCUUACUGCUGCUAUUCCUGGAGCUUCCUAAAUUCCAUAGGCAGUUUUCACAGGACUGAAGGGCCCCAAUCAGGCUCCAUAAAAUAGGUGCCCCUGUAAGACUAGGGUACCCCCAGUAAGGUAGCUAAUGGAAAACUACCAGCACACUCAGAAGGCAUGUUCAGUUACUAUUUACUUGCUCAGAAUAGUUGCUCCAGAGUGUUGCUAAAUUUAACAUUGCUACACAAACAGAAGAUAUAUGAAUGGUUACAUAAUAGGGCCUGUAGCAGGGCACAGAAGAGGUUUCUGACAGAAUGGAUUUGACUGGUACAUACAUGCCAGACUUUCUAAGGGUUGUAGAGUUUUUGCCAACUUCACUGUUAGCCUAGGGCAGGAGUCAGCAAUCUAUGUCUCGUGGGCUGGAUAUAGCCAAUGAAGCCAUCCAAUCCAGCCCACAGAGGUCUGAUUCAGCAUGGGGGAUCAGUCUCACAGAGCUACGCUGUGCUAUCUAUCUGCUCCACAGUACUUUUCUCCACUACAGAGUCUGCUGCUCCACAGCCUGCUGAUCCCUUGCUAAAAUGAAAUACAAUAAUUGGGAAUUGGACUGAUGACUAUGAAACUUAUGCUUAGCUGGCACCUACUUAUAAAAGUUAAAAUACAAAAUACUAAUGAUAAUUGCAUAGUGCAAGAGGAUGUAAGUUCACGACUAGGCCAUCUGAGAAGAAAUAAUGAGUUUGAUUAACAGGACUUUCCUGUCAAUUACUGCCUGGGACUCUCUCUUGAUUUACACAACUACAAGAAUGCUUUGAAGAUGCUGAGCUGAAGGGCAUAAAAGAGAAAUGAAACAGCUAACAGGACUCACUUCAAGAAUGAGAACUCUCUCCUUGACACGACCUGCUGCUGCAGCCAGCUAUCUCGAGAAGCUGAAAAGAAACAGACCGUCUCUCUGUCACCUGUUUGGUGUCACAUUAUCAUCUUAUAGCUAAUUACUGGACUUUGCUUUGGUUUGGGCUCAUUUAACCUUAAAUACUUGUAGUAAAUAAAGCCUUUCCGUCAUUUAUUGAA
This is a long non-coding RNA of Alligator mississippiensis (American alligator), 4265 nucleotides long. RefSeq lists it as uncharacterized. The transcript is spliced from 2 exons. Lineage: Eukaryota; Metazoa; Chordata; Crocodylia; Alligatoridae. The record is from RefSeq and is a predicted model, not a curated record.